GUGCUCUCUUCAGUAGCACAUAUUCUAAAAUUGAAACAAUACAGAGAUUAUCAAGGCCCCUGCACAAGGAUGACAUGCAAACUCAUGAAGGAUUCCAUAUUUUU
Molecule: small nuclear RNA, 104 nt
Filed under: Sciurus vulgaris (Eurasian red squirrel)
Lineage: Eukaryota; Metazoa; Chordata; Mammalia; Rodentia; Sciuridae
Source: RNAcentral